GAUGAACGCUGGCGGCGUGCCUAAUACAUGCAAGUCGAGCGAACAGAUGAGGAGCUUGCUCCUCUGACGUUAGCGGCGGACGGGUGAGUAACACGUGGAUAACCUACCUAUAAGACUGGGAUAACUUCGGGAAACCGGAGCUAAUACCGGAUAAUAUAUUGAACCGCAUGGUUCAAUAGUGAAAGACGGUUUUGCUGUCACUUAUAGAUGGAUCCGCGCCGCAUUAGCUAGUUGGUAAGGUAACGGCUUACCAAGGCAACGAUGCGUAGCCGACCUGAGAGGGGGAUCGGCCACACUGGAACUGAGACACGGUCCAGACUCCUACGGGAGGCAGCAGUAGGGAAUCUUCCGCAAUGGGCGAAAGCCUGACGGAGCAACGCCGCGUGAGUGAUGAAGGUCUUCGGAUCGUAAAACUCUGUUAUUAGGGAAGAACAAAUGUGUAAGUAACUAUGCACGUCUUGACGGUACCUAAUCAGAAAGCCACGGCUACUACGUG
This 496-nucleotide ribosomal RNA is filed under the name uncultured bacterium. RNAcentral describes it as "partial 16S ribosomal RNA". It matches the Rfam family "Bacterial small subunit ribosomal RNA", at positions 28 to 507 of the family's 1533-position model. The record is from RNAcentral.